AAAGCGCGCGUAGGUGGUUUGUUAAGUUGGAUGUGAAAUCCCCGGGCUCAACCUGGGAACUGCAUUCAAAACUGACUGACUAGAGUAUGGUAGAGGGUGGUGGAAUUUCCUGUGUAGCGGUGAAAUGCGUAGAUAUAGGAAGGAACACCAGUGGCGAAGGCGACCACCUGGACUAAUACUGACACUGAGGUGCGAAAGCGUGGGGAGCAAACAGGAUUAGAUACCCCGGU
Molecule: ribosomal RNA, 230 nt
Filed under: uncultured bacterium
Lineage: Bacteria
Description: partial 16S ribosomal RNA
Rfam family: Bacterial small subunit ribosomal RNA
Source: RNAcentral